This 450-nucleotide ribosomal RNA is filed under the name uncultured bacterium. RNAcentral's name for it is "partial 16S ribosomal RNA". It matches the Rfam family "Bacterial small subunit ribosomal RNA", at positions 354 to 796 of the family's 1533-position model. The record is from RNAcentral.
GUGAUGAAUAUUGGGCAAUGGGCGAAAGCCUGACCCAGCCACGCCGCGUGAGUGAUGAAGGCCUUCGGGUUGUAAAGCUCUGUGGGGAGGGAAGAAAAAGCGGGAGAGUAACUGCUCUCGUGUUGACGGUACCUCCUUAGCAAGCACCGGCUAACUCUGUGCCAGCAGCCGCGGUAAUACAGAGGGUGCAAACGUUGCUCGGAAUUACUGGGCGUAAAGCGCGUGUAGGCUGACAUGCAAGUCGGGUGUGAAAUCCCAGGGCUCAACCUUGGAACUGCACUCGAAACUGCACGUCUUGAGUACUGGAGAGGGAAGCGGAAUUCCGGGUGUAGAGGUGAAAUUCGUAGAUAUCCGGAGGAACACCAGUGGCGAAGGCGGCUUCCUGGACAGUAACUGACGCUGAGACGCGAAAGCGUGGGGAGCAAACAGGAUUAGAUACCCUGGUAGUCC